Molecule: ribosomal RNA, 492 nt
Filed under: uncultured bacterium
Lineage: Bacteria
Description: partial 16S ribosomal RNA
Rfam family: Bacterial small subunit ribosomal RNA
Source: RNAcentral
AGUGAACGCUGGCGGUAGGCCUAACACAUGCAAGUCGAACGGCAGCACAGUAAGAGCUUGCUCUUACGGGUGGCGAGUGGCGGACGGGUGAGGAAUACAUCGGAAUCUACUUUUUCGUGGGGGAUAACGUAGGGAAACUUACGCUAAUACCGCAUACGACCUACGGGUGAAAGCAGUGGAUCUUCGGACCUUGCGCGAUUGAAUGAGCCGAUGUCGGAUUAGCUAGUUGGCGGGGUAAAGGCCCACCAAGGCGACGAUCCGUAGCUGGUCUGAGAGGAUGAUCAGCCACACUGGAACUGAGACACGGUCCAGACUCCUACGGGAGGCAGCAGUGGGGAAUAUUGGACAAUGGGCGAAAGCCUGAUCCAGCCAUACCGCGCGGGUGAAGAAGGCCUUCGGGUUGUAAAGCCCUUUUGUUGGGAAAGAAAAGCAGCAGGUUAAUACCCCGCUGUUCUGACGGUACCCAAAGAAUAAGCACCGGCUAACUUCGUG